AGAGCGAACGCUGGCGGCAGGCUUAACACAUGCAAGUCGAGCGGGCGUAGCAAUACGUCAGCGGCAGACGGGUGAGUAACGCGUGGGAACAUACCUUUUGGUUCGGAACAACCCAGGGAAACUUGGGCUAAUACCGGAUAAGCCCUUACGGGGAAAGAUUUAUCGCCGAAAGAUUGGCCCGCGUCUGAUUAGCUAGUUGGCGAGGUAACGGCUCACCAAGGCGACGAUCAGUAGCUGGUCUGAGAGGAUGAUCAGCCACAUUGGGACUGAGACACGGCCCAAACUCCUACGGGAGGCAGCAGUGGGGAAUAUUGGACAAUGGGCGCAAGCCUGAUCCAGCCAUGCCGCGUGAGUGAUGAAGGCCCUAGGGUUGUAAAGCUCUUUUGUGCGGGAAGAUAAUGACGGUACCGCAAGAAUAAGCCCCGGCUAACUUCGUGCCAGCAGCCGC
RNAcentral lists this ribosomal RNA (448 nucleotides) under uncultured bacterium. Its description in RNAcentral is "SSU rRNA". It matches the Rfam family "Bacterial small subunit ribosomal RNA", at positions 26 to 518 of the family's 1533-position model. The record is from RNAcentral.